CUAAUCCAUUUCCCUCUCUUCUCGCCCUGUUCUUUCCCCAAAUCCGACGAUGAGAGACAACCGCUGCCGCGACGCAGCCGAAGACGGGGGGCAGGGAAGGGGAAGGGCUGGAGCGCGGUGGGGACCCGCUUCUCGUCGCCGGCGUAGGUACGGUCGCCCGUUCGGCUGCUCCCUGCCCAACCAGAUCCAGCCCCAUCGUCGUUGUUCCCCGCCGUCGUCGACGGGAUGCGGCCGUCGUCUACUUCCUCUGCCCGAGGGAUGGAAACGUCGGCACUGGAGUCGUGGCCGUGGCGGGGAAGGCGAACCCAGCGCAGCUCUGCCAGUGGCUCAAGAGGAAGAUAAGCAAGGAUGUCAAGAUUUUCCGCCGUUGUCCAAACGGGCUGAGAAUUGUAAUAAGCAGGUAUGCAUCCCUCUUGUCUACUUGUACUGCAGAAUGAAGGAUGAUGUGUGUAAUAUCCAAAUGAAUGCACGUUAUUACGAAGGGCUAGCCGUGUGGGGUUAAGGUGCUCGCCGGCGGCGACCUGCGUGGCUCUCGGCCUGCAUCCUCGCUGAACUCAACACCAACUAUCGCGCGCCCGCGAUGUGACUGCUGUUGCAACAACGACGGCCAACGGCUAUUGAACGACGAGGAUGCCCUUCGGGGGUUAUAGCAUGCAAAGCAAAGCAGUUGCUCAAUACUCACAGCCAAUAUAUCUCCGUGUAGAAGCAGAAGAAGCAGCAAUUGAUUCGAAAUGAGAGUAAUGAAGCAUAUAAUGUUGAACGAUAGUCACAAGCUGGCUACCUGAUGGAGACUACGCUGGAUACCUGAUGUUUGAGUUGGAUAGAAUACAUGUUUUAGUUGGCUAUAAUACAUGGGUACCUGCACACAACCUUGUGUAUGCUUGUUGCACACAUCCAGGGGAAAGUUGGCUAUUUAACCAUGUUUAGUUGCACAGGGAACUACAUCAACCUUUUUUCUACUAUGAUGCAUUUUUUCACCCGUGGA
RNA transcript from Triticum dicoccoides, 985 nucleotides. RefSeq lists it as uncharacterized. The transcript is spliced from 3 exons. Lineage: Eukaryota; Viridiplantae; Streptophyta; Magnoliopsida; Poales; Poaceae. The record is from RefSeq and is a predicted model, not a curated record.